This 665-nucleotide ribosomal RNA is filed under the name uncultured bacterium. RNAcentral describes it as "bacterial SSU rRNA". It matches the Rfam family "Bacterial small subunit ribosomal RNA", at positions 97 to 776 of the family's 1533-position model. The record is from RNAcentral.
GGCGGACGGGUGAGUAACGCGUAAGGAACUUGCCUCUUGGUCUGGGACAACUGUUGGAAACGACAGCUAAUACCGGAUAUUAUGAGAUUCUCGCAUGGGAAACUUAUGAAAGCUAUAUGCGCCAAGAGAGAGCCUUGCGUUCCAUUAGCUAGUUGGUGGGGUAACGGCCCACCAAGGCGACGAUGGAUAGCCGGCCUGAGAGGGUGAACGGCCACAAGGGGACUGAGACACGGCCCUUACUCCUACGGGAGGCAGCAGUGGGGAAUAUUGGACAAUGGGCCACAAGCCUGAUCCAGCAAUUCUGUGUGCACGAUGAAGGUCUUCGGAUUGUAAAGUGCUUUCAGUUGGGAAGAAGAAAGUGACGGUACCAACAGAAGAAGCGACGGCUAAAUACGUGCCAGCAGCCGCGGUAAUACGUAUGUCGCAAGCGUUAUCCGGAUUUAUUGGGCGUAAAGCGCGUCUAGGCGGAAAAAUAAGUCUGAUGUUAAAAUGCGGGGCUCAACUCCGUAUUGCGUUGGAAACUGUUUUUCUAGAGUACUGGAGAGGUGGGCGGAACUACAAGUGUAGAGGUGAAAUUCGUAGAUAUUUGUAGGAAUGCCGAUGGAGAAGUCAGCUCACUGGACAGAUACUGACGCUAAAGCGCGAAAGCGUGGGGAGCAAACAGG